CGCGUGAGGAACCUGCCUUUCAGAGGGGGACAACAGUUGGAAACGACUGCUAAUACCGCAUAACACAUAGGUGUCGCAUGGCAUUUAUGUCAAAGAUUUAUCGCUGAAAGAUGGCCUCGCGUCUGAUUAGCUAGUUGGUGAGGUAACGGCUCACCAAGGCGACGAUCAGUAGCCGGACUGAGAGGUUGGCCGGCCACAUUGGGACUGAGAUACGGCCCAGACUCCUACGGGAGGCAGCAG
RNAcentral lists this ribosomal RNA (240 nucleotides) under uncultured bacterium. RNAcentral's name for it is "partial 16S ribosomal RNA". It matches the Rfam family "Bacterial small subunit ribosomal RNA", at positions 114 to 354 of the family's 1533-position model. The record is from RNAcentral.